CCCUUAGAUGUUCUGGGCCGCACGCGCGCUACACUGAUGCAAUCAACGAGUUCUUCCUUGCCCGAUAGGGUUGGGUAAUCUUCUGAAAUUGCAUCGUGAUGGGGAUAGAUUAUUGCAAUUAUUAAUCUUCAACGAGGAAUUCCUAGUAAGCGCAAGUCAUCAGCUUGUGCUGAUUACGUCCCUGCCCUUUGUACACACCGCCCGUCGCACCUACCGAUUGAAUGGUCCGGUGAAAUCUCGGGACGGCGGCUUGGUCGCUUGCGUCCGACUGCUGAAACUUGAUUAAACCAUAUCAUUUAGAGGAAGGUGAAGUCGUAACA
RNAcentral lists this ribosomal RNA (320 nucleotides) under uncultured eukaryote. RNAcentral describes it as "partial 18S ribosomal RNA". It matches the Rfam family "Eukaryotic small subunit ribosomal RNA", at positions 1470 to 1796 of the family's 1831-position model. The record is from RNAcentral.